Molecule: ribosomal RNA, 253 nt
Filed under: uncultured bacterium
Lineage: Bacteria
Description: partial 16S ribosomal RNA
Rfam family: Bacterial small subunit ribosomal RNA
Source: RNAcentral
UACAGAGGUCCCAAGCGUUGUUCGGAUUCACUGGGCGUAAAGGGUGCGUAGGCGGUCGGGCAAGUCUGAUGUGAAAUCUCGCAGCUUAACUGCGAAACUGCAUUGGAUACUAUCCGGCUCGAGGAAUGGAGGGGAGACUGGAAUACUUGGUGUAGCAGUGAAAUGCGUAGAUAUCAAGUGGAACACCAGUGGCGAAGGCGAGUCUCUGGACAUUUCCUGACGCUGAGGCACGAAAGCCAGGGGAGCAAACGGG